AGAGUUUGAUCCUGGCUCAGAUUGAACGCUGGCGGCAUGCUUUACACAUGCAAGUCGAACGGUAACAGGGGGCUUGCUCCGCUGACGAGUGGCGAACGGGUGAGUAAUGCAUCGGAACGUGCCGUGUAGUGGGGGAUAACGUAGCGAAAGUUACGCUAAUACCGCAUACGCCCUGAGGGGGAAAGUGGGGGACCGCAAGGCCUCACGCUAUACGAGCGGCCGAUGUCGGAUUAGCUAGUUGGUAGGGUAAAGGCCUACCAAGGCGACGAUCCGUAGCGGGUCUGAGAGGAUGAUCCGCCACACUGGGACUGAGACACGGCCCAGACUCCUACGGGAGGCAGCAGUGGGGAAUUUUGGACAAUGGGCGCAAGCCUGAUCCAGCCAUGCCGCGUGAGUGAAGAAGGCCUUCGGGUUGUAAAGCUCUUUCAGACGGAAAGAAAUCGGUGUGUCUAAUACACGCACUGGAUGACGGUACCGUAAGAAGAAGCACCGGCUAACUACGUGCCAGCAGCCGCGGUAAUACGUAGGGUGCGAGCGUUAAUCGGAAUUACUGGGCGUAAAGCGUGCGCAGGCGGUUAUGUAAGACAGAUGUGAAAUCCCCGGGCUCAACCUGGGAACCGCGUUUGUGACUGCAUAACUAGAGUACGGCAGAGGGAGGUGGAAUUCCACGUGUAGCAGUGAAAUGCGUAGAGAUGUGGAGGAACACCGAUGGCGAAGGCAG
This 721-nucleotide ribosomal RNA is filed under the name uncultured Zoogloea sp. RNAcentral describes it as "bacterial SSU rRNA". It matches the Rfam family "Bacterial small subunit ribosomal RNA", at positions 8 to 724 of the family's 1533-position model. The record is from RNAcentral. Lineage: Bacteria; Pseudomonadati; Pseudomonadota; Betaproteobacteria; Rhodocyclales; Zoogloeaceae.